Molecule: ribosomal RNA, 560 nt
Filed under: uncultured bacterium
Lineage: Bacteria
Description: bacterial SSU rRNA
Rfam family: Bacterial small subunit ribosomal RNA
Source: RNAcentral
AAUAGAUACCCUGGUAGUCCACGCCGUAAACGAUGGAUACUAGCUGUUGGGGGUAUCGACCCCCCCAGUAGCGAAGCUAACGCGUUAAGUAUCCCGCCUGUGGAGUACGGUCGCAAGACUAAAACAUAAAGGAAUUGACGGGGACCCGCACAAGCGGUGGAUCAUGUUCUUUAAUUCGAUGAUAAACGAAGAACCUUACCAGGGUUUGACAUCCCGAGAAUUACUCCGAAAGGAGUGAGUGCUUUAUUGAACUCGGUGACAGGUGAUGCAUGGCCGUCGUCAGCUCGUGUCGUGAGAUGUUGGGUUAAGUCCCGCAACGAGCGCAACCCUUGUCCUUAGUUGCCAGCACGUAAUGGUGGGAACUCUAAGGAGACCGCCGGUGACAAACCGGAGGAAGGUGGGGAUGACGUCAAGUCAUCAUGGCCCUUACGGCCAGGGCUACACACGUACUACAAUGGGAAGGACAGAGGGCUGCAAUCCCGGCGAGGGGGAGCCAAGUCCCAGAAACCUUCUCUCAGUCCGGAUCGGAGUCUGCAACUCGACUCCGUGAAGUCGGUAAC